Drosophila ananassae is the source of this 436-nucleotide long non-coding RNA. RefSeq lists it as uncharacterized. NCBI's taxonomy places the organism in Eukaryota, Metazoa, Arthropoda, Insecta, Diptera, Drosophilidae. The record is from RefSeq and is a predicted model, not a curated record. The transcript has 2 exons.
ACCAGUGUGAUAUCCAUCCAGAACGGACAUCUCCUCGGCAGUCAGCUCAAAAUCAAAGAUAUUGAAGUUUUCGGAAAUUCGGUUGGUGUUCGAUGACUUCGGGAUUGGAAUGACUCCCAGACCAACCUAAACAAUAGUAGAAGAGAUGUGUUUUUUUAUUGUUCCAAUAUGGAAGAUAAUAGUCCGAAAACUACGUUAUCCUGAAGUGCGAUUCAGCGAAAGGACAAUCAGAGUGGCUGAACAUCGGGAACGGACUAAUCGAAAUGAUAUCCAGGUGUAUUUACAUGAGCAACGAGAGCUUCAAAGGGAGAGAUACAAUAGGCUGCUGAUGCCCCGAAAUCAGCGACGAAAGCGUUUGAAAUAACUUGUAACACAUUUAAAUUUAUAUUUUAUUAACUAGAACUGAGGAUUAUUAAAAACCUAAUUCUAAUACGGA